Molecule: long non-coding RNA, 338 nt
Filed under: Heterocephalus glaber (naked mole-rat)
Lineage: Eukaryota; Metazoa; Chordata; Mammalia; Rodentia; Bathyergidae
Description: lncRNA (ENSHGLG00100039062.1)
Source: RNAcentral
GCGGAUCAGAAUUGAGAGCCCCGAAUUUCAAAUUAGCGGGGUUUUUAUUGUGGUUACAGCAAGAAGUGCCAAUCAACCAACAGGCUUGAUCUUGGAUGAAGACAAAAUCCAGAAUAGAAGAUCCUGAUUGGAUUCCACUUUAUAUUGGAGAUACUUCAUUGUUGCAAAUAGUCCUAAAAUGCACAGAGCCACACAGGGAUUGAACUUGGGACCUUGUGCUUGUGAGGCAGGUGGUGGAACCACUGAGCUAAAUCCCCAGCAGUAACACUCUUGAAGACACAGGCAUAGGCAAGAAUUUUCUGAACAGAACCUCAAUUGGACAAGAAAUAAUAGCAAGA